This 252-nucleotide ribosomal RNA is filed under the name uncultured bacterium. RNAcentral describes it as "partial 16S ribosomal RNA". It matches the Rfam family "Bacterial small subunit ribosomal RNA", at positions 524 to 776 of the family's 1533-position model. The record is from RNAcentral.
UACGUAGGGUGCGAGCGUGUCCGGAAUUAUUGGGCGUAAAGAGCUCGUAGGCGGUUUGUUGCGUCGGCUGUGAAAUCCCGAGGCUCAACCUCGGGUCUGCAGUCGAUACGAGCAAACUAGAGUGUUGCAGGGGAGACUGGAAUUCCUGGUGUAGCGGUGAAAUGCGCAGAUAUCAGGAGGAACACCGGUGGCGAAGGCGGGUCUCUGGGCAACAACUGACGCUGAGGAGCGAAAGCGUGGGGAGCGAACAGG